Long non-coding RNA from Amphiprion ocellaris (clown anemonefish), 1324 nucleotides. The record is from Ensembl. Lineage: Eukaryota; Metazoa; Chordata; Actinopteri; Pomacentridae.
CUUAAGUGGUGCCUGCUUCACAGCAAAAUCUGUAGUGUUAAUUUUCCAGUGUAAAAUAUUUUGAGUUAAUGAGUGUUGAUUUGGGUGUUGUUUUAACACUUGCAGUGAUGAAAUCGCUCUGAGGGCGGUGCUAAUUAAGCGAGUUGAAUGCAAACACCGCUGGCGGAGUUAAAUAUACUCUUGGUGGAGUUAAUAAGCCACGCCCUAUUUCAAAUCGCGCAUCUCGGCCAUUGCCGACAGAGGAGAAGAAGGCGGUGGGUACGUCUGUUUGAAAAAGAUGCAGUUUCAAGAUGUCAUCAUGUUGCUGAAGGUGAAAUACCAGAGUACCAAAAAGUACAUCAGAUUACAGUCAGGUUUCACCUUUUUGGAUUUCAUCAAUGAAGUCAAAAACAAGUUUGGGCUUCCUGAUGACACUGAACUUGAUGUUUUUGAUGAAACCGACACAGCAGUGGAGGAAGACAUCUUUAUUGAACUGAUAGAGGCCAAUCCGGACUUAUGCCUGAAAGUACGUGACAGCAUUUCACAUGAAGUGGAUUACAAAAAAGCCACACUGCCUGAGCAGCUUGAUGGAGAUGCCUGCAGGGAAGCUAUUUCAUUUCUUGUUCACUCUCCUGAUGAAGCAAGUGUGUUUCAGAAGAUGAAGAUGACCUUGCAACAUCGCCAGGACCUAGUGCAUGAUCCACAGAGAACCACAGAUGUCUUUAAAACAUUCCCACGAUUUUUAGAUGUGAAAGGACUGCUGAAUCAAGACUCCCUGCUGCUGUUUGGAGCUGAAACAGCCUCCAAGAUGCUUGAGAAGUGGGACACAGUAUUCAGGCCCAAAGUUAUCAAAGAGGCCAAACACUUGACUCAGUCAACUGAGCUGUGCCGACUUCUGAAAGCUGCUGAGAAACUCACAGAGAACGAUGACACAAACUGGGACAGCGACGUGGCUUCUCUACUGCUCCUUCUCCAUCUCUUGCCACCCACAGCUGGACAGAAGAGGGCCAAGAUAACUUGCAGUAAUGCAGUGGACAAAAUGGUUCACUUUCACAAAUCAUGCUGCAGCAUCGAUGAACACCUGCGAGGAAGUGAGGGUAAACAACCAUAUAUCCUUGCUGCUGGCCGAACCCAGAACAGGAUUGACACUUUCUACAUUGUUGUGGACAAACAGCUCAUCCCCUGCCAAGCUGCCAACUCGUUGGGUUCUUUUGAUGAACUAUUUAAAUCCCACUAUGUAUUCAACCUAUCUUAUGAUGAGUCUCUGGUCCAGCUCUACACUUUUGUGCAGACAACAAUCUAUAACAUUGAUGUUACCACAACGGAAGAGUCACCAAGAGUUUGU